Molecule: long non-coding RNA, 1098 nt
Filed under: Mus spicilegus (steppe mouse)
Lineage: Eukaryota; Metazoa; Chordata; Mammalia; Rodentia; Muridae
Description: lncRNA (ENSMSIG00000007692.1)
Source: RNAcentral
GCAAGAUCUCCCAAGGUCAUUCCGGGGAAGCCCCUAGAUACUCCACAGCCGCUUCUGCCUAUCAUGCCUUCCCAACUUCCCUGCAGAAGCCUUGGAGGCACUGAGCAAGCUCUCUACCACCCCACCUUUACAUUUGGGGGAGGAGUUAGACAAACAAGAGAUCUGAAUAUAAUCUCACAAGGAGUAAAUAAAAUGAAAAGGGAGAACUUUUGAAGUUAGUUGUCCCUGCCUCCUGCGCUCCUAACAUCUCCAGGUAACUCCCAUGGAGCGCACACACAAAGCUACCUUGUCACGAGGCACCGGGGAUUGCUCUCCCUUUAGACACCCCAGCCCUUUUCCUGGAAGGUGACUUUAUUCCACAGCACGGGGCUGUUAUUUUUUCCUUAGGCCAGGGUUGGGAGUUUACACCCCACGUCUCUGGGAACACUGGUGCAUCUGUGAGCAAAGUUGGCUCUGGCGUCCUGAAGGAGGCGUGCUCGGGGCGGAGGGGCAAAAGAACGUCACAGUGGGGCGGAGUGGGGACACUGGCCGGGAGACCCGGAGGAAGGACACCCGCGCUGCGUGUGCUGUGGCGUGUGCGUCCUAGUUUAAGGUAGGAGUUGGGCUGAGGAGAGACAGAGCCAGCCAGUCAGAUUCAGGAAGUCGCGUUCCUGACCUCAGUAGCAGAGCUGGGUGCGGUGAAACCUCAGCCAGGGACGCAGGGGGCGCUUUCACACUGGUGGCACCCACUGACCGGCAGCGCCGCCUCUCUCCCGGGACCUGGCAGUGGGAGGGAGAGGCAGGAGCAGGGAUCCAGACCUCACCCUUGUGCCCAAGUCACUUCAGACAGCACCGAACAGAGCCAGCGGUCCCGCCGGCGGGAAGCCUUCCAGCGGACCCAAAGAGGUCUCUCACCUUCUCUCCGCUCCUGGCCUGACACAUGGACUCCUCUGGAGUUUGGGGUGGAGUUCUCAGCUCCAGUUGACACCAGCUGCAGGAAAGAGGCCCAUUACAAAACAACAUUUCGGGCACUGUCAACAUUUUGCCUACAGAAUCAAAAGAGGUAAAAGCCACAGGAUCAAACCCAAGAAGAUAAUAAACAGUCAGCAGGCUUCUGCA